AAGAUAAGCUACAUAAAGUGAGAUAAUUUAACAAGAACAUGUGAAGAAUAAUUGAUCAAACAGGACUUAGAGAUAAGACUCAGGAAGAACAUGCUUUUCAAAUAUUUGAAGAUAAAAAAAGUAGGCCAAACAGGCUUUAAAACAAGAUAGAAAUCAACAAAAUACUAUAUAAAAUUAAUUUUGUCUCAGCUCUCCAUGAAGAUGAAUGGCUUUAGAAAAUACCCAAGUUCUUGCUUCCUAAGAAGGAACUAUUUGUGAAUUUGCAUAGAAUCAAAAUGUUCUAUAAAACCCAUCAAACUCAAAUAUUAUAAAAAAGGCAACAUUAGAGAUAGCAUUGUUAAUGCAUGUUUUAUUUGGAGUUCAUGGAAAAAAAAUCCUACUUACCCAUAUCAGAGUCACCUCCACCAGAAGAGUUCAACUUACGAAAAAUUUCCUGUUUCUUUGAUUUAACCAUGGGUGAUGUGCUUUCAAGCUUGGUGAAGAAUGAAGGCAAGUAGCUUAUACUUCCUGGUGAUCGAGAAUCACUCCUGUCAGGAAUAGAAUUCAAUCUAUUAUAACCAUGUACCCUAGGAACACUCCUUUAAAUAACAGGUACAAAAUACUCAGAAAACUACUGCCUUCCAUUCUGUGUUGGUUACAAACCGUACAAAGCAUAUGUGACCAUGAACUCAUAAAGAUGAUCCACAGGACUGCCUGCCUGCCUGCCUGUCUGUCUGUCUAUCUAUCUAAUGAUUUUUAGCUCUGAGAAGUGAAAUGGUAAAAUUGGGAUUAAAAGGAAGAUGAUAUACAGUUCUCUCUAUCUGGUUGGUUUUUUGAGACAAGAGUCUCAUUAUGUACUCUUGACUGUCUCACUUUGUAGACAAGAAAGGUCUUGAACUCAGAUCUGCCUGCCUCUGUCUCCUCAGUGCUGGGAUUAAAGGUGUGUGCCACCCACCAUGCUUGACUAAUCUACAGCACAAAUUCAUAUAAGAUAAAAUGGCAAAGUAAUAAUUGGAAAACUUAUCAACGUUGUUGUUUUGUUGUUUUCUUGCGCUUCACAGCUCAAACUAUGGUUAUUUAAGCUAGGAACUAACUUACUAGCAGCACUGUCUUUUAAGUACCCUAGUUGUGACUAAUGACACACUUGUCUAUAAAAUAGCAAAAGCCAAUCACUGGUUGGAUCCUAGCAAAAUAGCUGCAGUAUCUACAUAAAAUGGCCUAACUAUAAGACAAACAACAGAAGAACUGAGUCUUAAUACAAAGAAUCUCGUAUUUCAUUGGUAGCUUCUAUAUUCAAAGUUCAGCAAGCUGCUUUGACAGAGAUGGUAACAGAACACACCACUGACAACCCCAUCAAGUCAUAUGUGCUCAUUUACCACUGAAACACAACAACAUUAUCUGUGAACAAAGACAAAGAGAGAAAAAAAUGGUUCCCAUGCAUAAAAAUCCAAUUUGGGAAAACAUAUGAAUGUAUAAUUAUUUUCUUCCUCAUUUCAUUGAAGGUAAUAACAUGUAUUAUAUACAAUAAAUACUCAGAAAUUCACCAGCAGAGUCAGACCUGGCUUAAAACUGGACUUUCCUCUCUGUACAAGGUUUGGCCACCAUCAAAUCCUGUCUCUAGUGUAUUAAAUACCAAGAAAACUGUUCUUUUGAAGAAAAUGAACUGAGAGAAAAGACAACAGAGAAUAUAACGUAAGGGAGAGACAGCAGGAAAUGAAGCUUUGUAAGCCUGGCCCUGAAGGAAUGCAAAUGCCACGCUAGCAACUGUGUUCUGCACAUUGUGUCUCAGCUAACUCUGGGGACAAAUGAGGACUGCUCUGUAAUUCAGGUCAACGUGGU
This 1818-nucleotide long non-coding RNA is filed under the name Mus musculus (house mouse). RNAcentral's name for it is "long non-coding RNA chr11:62325102-62326920". Lineage: Eukaryota; Metazoa; Chordata; Mammalia; Rodentia; Muridae. The record is from RNAcentral.